UCAAGCCGUGUACUUGGAAAACUUGUAAGCACGGUUUCUCGGGGGGAAAGGGGCAGCAAUGCCUCUGACCUACCCUAC
This 78-nucleotide non-coding RNA is filed under the name Chamaesiphon minutus PCC 6605. Lineage: Bacteria; Bacillati; Cyanobacteriota; Cyanophyceae; Gomontiellales; Chamaesiphonaceae. The record is from RNAcentral.